RNAcentral lists this unclassified non-coding RNA (75 nucleotides) under Candidatus Kentrum sp. TC. Lineage: Bacteria; Pseudomonadati; Pseudomonadota; Gammaproteobacteria. The record is from RNAcentral.
AGGAGCCGAAUGAAUGGAGAGGUUCACAUCUGGUUCUGUGAGCGCCUCGGGGGAGAUUCCCCGGGGCGGCUCGAC